GAUGAACGCUAGCGGCAGGCCUAACACAUGCAAGUCGAGGGAUAAGCCUUCGGGCUAAGACCGGCGCACGGGUGCGUAACGCGUAUACAAUCUGCCUUUUAUCCGGGGGAUAGCCCGAAGAAAUUUGGAUUAAUACCCUAUGGUAUACGAGCACGGCAUCGUGCACUUAUUACAGCUACGGCGGUAAACGAUGAGUAUGCGUUCUAUUAGCUAGUUGGAGAGGUAACGGCUCCCCAAGGCGACGAUAGAUAGGGGUUCUGAGAGGGAUGUCCCCCACACUGGUACUGAGAUACGGACCAGACUGCUACGGGAGGCAGCAGUGAGGAAUAUUGGACAAUGGUCGGAAGACUGAUCCAGCCAUGCCGCGUGCAGGAUGACGGCCUUAUGGGUUGUAAACUGCUUUUGUAAGGGAAGAAUAAGGAGUACGUGGACUUUGAUGACGGUACCUUACGAAUAAGCAUCGGCUAACUCCGUG
Molecule: ribosomal RNA, 475 nt
Filed under: uncultured bacterium
Lineage: Bacteria
Description: partial 16S ribosomal RNA
Rfam family: Bacterial small subunit ribosomal RNA
Source: RNAcentral